Molecule: ribosomal RNA, 849 nt
Filed under: Ramularia hydrangeae-macrophyllae
Lineage: Eukaryota; Fungi; Ascomycota; Dothideomycetes; Mycosphaerellales; Mycosphaerellaceae
Description: eukaryotic LSU rRNA
Rfam family: Eukaryotic large subunit ribosomal RNA
Source: RNAcentral
CCAACAGGGAUUGCCCUAGUAACGGCGAGUGAAGCGGCAACAGCUCAAAUUUGAAAUCUGGCGCAAGCCCGAGUUGUAAUUUGUAGAGGAUGCUUCUAGGUAGCGACCGGUCUAAGUUCCUUGGAACAGGACGUCAUAGAGGGUGAGAAUCCCGUAUGUGACCGGCCCGCACCUUCUACGUAGCUCCUUCGACGAGUCGAGUUGUUUGGGAAUGCAGCUCUAAAUGGGAGGUAAAUUUCUUCUAAAGCUAAAUACCGGCCAGAGACCGAUAGCGCACAAGUAGAGUGAUCGAAAGAUGAAAAGCACUUUGGAAAGAGAGUUAAAAAGCACGUGAAAUUGUUGAAAGGGAAGCGCUCACAACCAGACUUCUGGGCGGUGUUCCGCCGGUCUUCUGACCGGUCUACUCACCGUCCCGAGGCCAACAUCAUCUGGGACCGCUGGAUAAGACCUCAGGAAUGUAGCUCCCCCUCGGGGGAGUGUUAUAGCCUGUGGUGAUGCAGCGCGUCUCGGGUGAGGUCCGCGCUUCGGCAAGGAUGUUGGCGUAAUGGUUGUCAGCGGCCCGUCUUGAAACACGGACCAAGGAGUCUAACAUCUAUGCGAGUGUUCGGGUGUCAAACCCCUACGCGUAAUGAAAGUGAACGGAGGUGGGAAGCGUAAGCUGCACCAUCGACCGAUCCUGAUGUCCUCGGAUGGAUUUGAGUAAGAGCAUAGCUGUUGGGACCCGAAAGAUGGUGAACUAUGCCUGAAUAGGGUGAAGCCAGAGGAAACUCUGGUGGAGGCUCGCAGCGGUUCUGACGUGCAAAUCGAUCGUCAAAUUUGGGUAUAGGGGCGAAAGACUAAUCGAACCAU